Molecule: ribosomal RNA, 253 nt
Filed under: uncultured bacterium
Lineage: Bacteria
Description: partial 16S ribosomal RNA
Rfam family: Bacterial small subunit ribosomal RNA
Source: RNAcentral
UACGUAGGGGGCAAGCGUUGUCCGGAUUUAUUGGGCGUAAAGAGCGUGUAGGCGGCCACACAGGUCCGUUGUGAAAACUCGAGGCUCAACCUCGAGACGUCGAUGGAAACCGUGUGGCUAGAGUCCGGAAGAGGAGUGUGGAAUUCCUGGUGUAGCGGUGAAAUGCGCAGAUAUCAGGAAGAACACCUAUGGCGAAGGCAGCACUCUGGGACGGUACUGACGCUGAGACGCGAAAGCGUGGGGAGCAAACGGG